GAUGGGUGCGGUGGCGCAUGCCUGUAAUCCCAGCAGCUUGGGAGGCUGAGGCAGGAGGAUCGUGAGUUCAAAGCCAGCCUCAGCAACUGUGAGGCCCUAAGCAACUCAGUGAGACCCUGUCUCUA
Molecule: small RNA, 125 nt
Filed under: Marmota monax (woodchuck)
Lineage: Eukaryota; Metazoa; Chordata; Mammalia; Rodentia; Sciuridae
Source: RNAcentral